RNAcentral lists this unclassified non-coding RNA (314 nucleotides) under uncultured fungus. RNAcentral describes it as "partial contains 5.8S ribosomal RNA and internal transcribed spacer 2". The stretch from base 1 to 133 matches the Rfam family "5.8S ribosomal RNA", at positions 22 to 154 of the family's 154-position model. Lineage: Eukaryota; Fungi. The record is from RNAcentral.
UGGUUCUGGCAUCGAUGAAGAACGCAGCGAAAUGCGAUAAGUAAUGUGAAUUGCAGAAUUCAGUGAAUCAUCGAAUCUUUGAACGCACAUUGCGCCCUGUGGUAUUCCGCAGGGCAUGCCUGUUCGAGCGUCAUUAUAACCACUCACGCCUGGCGUGGUGUUGGGACCCGCGAUUCCGCGGUCCUCAAACCUAGUGGCGGUGCCCGUAGGCUCUAAGCGUAGUAAUACUCCUCGCUAUAGGGUCCUGCGGGUUACCCGCCAGAACCCCCCCAAUUUUUCAGGUUGACCUCGGAUCAGGUAGGGAUACCCGCUGA